CAGCACCUCAAGUGGUCAGGAUGAUUAUUGGGCCUAAAACGUCCGUAGCCGGUUUAGUAAAUGCCUGGGUAAAUCGUGUAGCUUAACUAUACGACUUCCGGGUAGACUGCUAAACUUGAGACCGGGAGAGGCUAGAGGUACUCCUGGGGUAGAGGUGAAAUUCUGUAAUCCUAGGGGGACCACCAGUGGCGAAGGCGUCUAGCUAGAACGGGUCUGACGGUGAGGGACGAAGCCCUGGGGCACAAACCGGAUUAGAUACCCGAGUAGUCC
This 270-nucleotide ribosomal RNA is filed under the name uncultured archaeon. RNAcentral's name for it is "partial 16S ribosomal RNA". It matches the Rfam family "Archaeal small subunit ribosomal RNA", at positions 477 to 747 of the family's 1478-position model. The record is from RNAcentral.